RNAcentral lists this ribosomal RNA (253 nucleotides) under uncultured bacterium. RNAcentral's name for it is "partial 16S ribosomal RNA". It matches the Rfam family "Bacterial small subunit ribosomal RNA", at positions 524 to 776 of the family's 1533-position model. The record is from RNAcentral.
UACGUAGGGUGCGAGCGUUGUCCGGAUUUACUGGGCGUAAAGAGCGCGCAGGCGGUCGUUCAAGUCGCGUGUGAAAGCCCCCGGCUCAACUGGGGAGGGUCACGCGAUACUGAUCGACUCGAAGGCAGGAGAGGGUAGUGGAAUUCCCGGUGUAGUGGUGAAAUGCGCAGAUAUCAGGAGGAACACCGGUGGCGAAGGCGGCUCUCUGGGCCUUACCUGACGCUGAGGAGCGAAAGCUGGGGGAGCGAACAGG